Molecule: transfer RNA, 72 nt
Filed under: Heterocephalus glaber (naked mole-rat)
Lineage: Eukaryota; Metazoa; Chordata; Mammalia; Rodentia; Bathyergidae
Rfam family: tRNA
About the family: Transfer RNA (tRNA) molecules are approximately 80 nucleotides in length.
Source: Rfam by way of RNAcentral
AGAGGUAUAGUUCAGUGAUAGAGCAUGUGCUUAGCAUGCACAAGGCCCUGGGUUCAAUUCCUAGCAUCACAC